Long non-coding RNA from Symphalangus syndactylus (siamang), 752 nucleotides. RefSeq lists it as uncharacterized. The record is from RefSeq and is a predicted model, not a curated record. NCBI's taxonomy places the organism in Eukaryota, Metazoa, Chordata, Mammalia, Primates, Hylobatidae.
CCGCUCCUGCGCUGGUCAUUGGGGGCAGUGAGAGGAGGCCAGAAGCAGAGGCGAUGCCGGCGGGGAGCGGGCGGUGGGGGGGGCUUCUGGGAGCAGCGGACCCGGCAGCUGCAGAGCCAAGUGUGGACCAAAGAAGACAAGAUAGCAGAACUGGAAACGGAAAAUGCUGUCCUUCUCCUGAAAUUGGCAGAGUACAAGGGAAACAUUGAAAGGAGUCGCAGCGAGGCCCGCGGAUUUCCACCCUGUACAACAAACAGCAGCGUCUGCAGAGAAACACACGCUCAGCCUUGAGCCAGCUGGGUCAUGUCAUUCAGGCAGUGACGAGAGGCUCUGAGCCUGAGCCAGCAUCGCGAGGAAGUCAACAACAGAUGGAAACAUGGCUCGCGCCCAGCAUCGCCCCACCGUGCAGUGAGCGGCCCUUCCUACGGAAAUUGGUGAAAUACUUGACUUUCUGUUUCUUAAAUACUUUAAGGGCAUAAAAUCACAUGUACUGCUUUGAAAGUACAAAUCCCAGCUGUACUGAGUCAGAACUUCUGUAAGUGAGCCGAGGCACGGGCAGCAUGAAAACAGCCCUGGCGGGCGUCGACACGCCUGGGCCGAAGAACUUCUGCUUUAAACCCUUCCAGUUAACAACACAUCCAUUACAUUAAUUGUGUGGGAUAUACAGGCGUUUCAUUCUUCUUCUCGGGCGCUCUUAAGAGAUUGUCAGGAUGAGUAUCAGGACCGCGUUUCUGAAAUAGUGACCACGGUGC